This is a long non-coding RNA of Mustela lutreola (European mink), 2375 nucleotides long. RefSeq lists it as uncharacterized. The record is from RefSeq and is a predicted model, not a curated record. The transcript has 2 exons. NCBI's taxonomy places the organism in Eukaryota, Metazoa, Chordata, Mammalia, Carnivora, Mustelidae.
GAUCUGCGUGAGGCCCGGGUUGGACACGGCAGGGAGGUCGGAGAUGUCCAGCCUGCGGAGGUUCCUGAGAGGAGGCAGCAAGGGAUUCACCGUGAUGACUCCUGUGUGUGGACCCCACACUCGCUCCAGGCUGCUUGUGGAGGCAGGGCUACAGGGACCGCCCGCUCCCCGCUCUCCGGAUCUGUGUCAGGUGCUUCCCCCCCUGCCCCCCAGCUUGGGGCCCAGCCUGAGCUGAGGUCUCACUGGAGGUGGUGGAGGCAGGCAAGGCCUCGUUCAGAGAUUCGGGGACAACCGGCCAGCGAGAGUUCCUGCAAUGAGUUGGCCAGCGAGUGGAGGCGGCUGAGACACCAGUCAUCCACGUGGGGGCAGUGCCGCAGCCACAGGGAUUGGAGCUCCUUCAGGGCCACUGCAAAGCAGGGGAGGCCACUGAGAUCCUUUCUGGAGCCCUGCACGGAAGGGCAAACGCACAAGCCUGCCCAUCUCCGGCCCACUCACGGAGGUUGUCCAGGCCGUGGUAGUUGAUGGCACUCCCGCUGGCAUCGACUGCCUCUACAGGCACCUCUGGGAACUUCAGGAAGUCAAGAGAGAAGCGGCCGCGGGUGUUUGGCCAGAUCCAUUCCUUGCCCUGAAACCUGGAAGGAGAUGGGCAGUGACCAGGGCACCCUGCCUCCCCAGGCCUCCAGCUUCUGGAGGAUGCUCCCAGCCCCAUGUGAGGACCUGGUCACACGGGGUCUGGUGCACUCGCUGCACAGCAGGCCCUGCACUAAAGGCCUUCCAUGUCGGGUCUCCCUGGGCCCCGGAUAUUCCCAUGAGAGAUGCAAUGUUUGGCCUCCCCCUCCCCCACUUUUCUAAGUAGGCACUGCGUGUAGUAUGGAGCCUGACACGUGGCCUGAAUUCACAACCCUGAGGUUAAGAGUUGAACGCUCAAUGGACUGAGCCACCCAGCCACCCCCAUUUGGCCAUUUUUACUGUGGGUCAGAAAAACUCGGUUAACAUCAGAGAAAAAGGCGAGAAUGCCAGAAUCUUCACUGACUGCCAGAAGUUGAGACCCACUCGGAUGUGUGCACCGUUUCUGAGGAACAUGCCGGAGGAAGGUGCUCAGACCAGGAGAACAUUUUAACUGGAGCCAAGCGAGGGGUAGGUGGGUGCAUGAGCUACAUUUUCCAGAGAAGAGGAAAAAGGGGAGGAAAAAACAGAGGAGGAGGGAGGGAAGGAGGAGAAAGGAAGGAAAAGGAACAGCGAUGUUUACUGAACUCCUAGGCUGUAUCGGGUCUGUGCCACACACUUCAUGGCAGUAAGUCUCUUGAGUCUUUCCAGCAAACCUUGCACAUACAACCACCGCCCUGUUUUACAAGUGACAGAGCAAGAGCUCAGGAACAAGGUCUGAGCGGAGCCAGCAGGGACAGAGCCCAGGGUUCAUGAAAAGUCCCAAGGGCCUCUGGCUCAGUGCUCCACAGCCUCCCCCACCCCACGCUGACGCUUUAGCCCUCAUACUUGACUGCGCCGCCCUGCUUCAGGAUGAAAUAGGCACCCGCGGCGUGGGGACCAAAGCGUUCCUUGAUGUGGGUGAAGGGCCUGUAGAGAGAACAGUGGCUGAGGUUGAGCACUGCACCCCGGUGUCAUGCUGUCAUGCCCCCACCCCCCGCGAGGGUCAGAGUUCACAGCACAAGGAGCGAGCCAGACAGACUGACCCACUGAGACAGACUGUGGAUAUUUACUGAGUGUCCGUUAAGGACCCGCAUCAAGGCAGACAGCGGUCCACGCUCUGUGUGGUUAACGUUACGAAAGGAAUCGGGUGGCCCACCCGGAAGUUAAGAGCAAACUGCAGCAGCAGCUCCUUGCUGGAAGUAACAGAGGGACUGACUGGGGAGUGGCUUGGGGCAAGUGUGGGGAUGGAGAAGGCUACUUCAGUUUGGGUAUUAAGAAAUACCUUCUUGGGGUGCCUGGGUGGCUCAGUCAAGCACCUGCCUUAGGCUCAGGUCAUGACUCUGGGAUCGAGCCUCUGCCUGCCCCUCUGCCUACUUGUGCUCUUUCUGUUGAAUAAAUAAAACAUUUAAAAAAAAAAAUAGUAGCUUCUUGCAGGAGGUGACAUCUGCGCAGAGCUUUGGUGGGAAGAAAUUCAAAGCUCACGGCAGGAGCCUGCCAGGCCAAGGGAAGAGCUGGUGGAUACACUCAGAGGCUCAACUUAGAACGGCAGGACAAACAGCACUGAGGAUGCCAUGCUGGUGGGGGUAAGGGGAAUCCCUGGUAGGCAUCUCAAAGCUCAGCUUUUAGGCUUUAGAGUCUGGCUUUUAUUCUAGCAACCAAAUGGCUGCAAUGGGAAACCAUUUGAGGGUUUUAAGCAAAGUGGUGUUUUUCUAUUUUAGUGGUUUAAA